CUCCACCACCAAAUCCUUGUAGAGGAGUUUUUACUGCUUUGAGCUAUUUGGGAGAGAUCCCCAUUUUGGCGAAAGCCUCCUGUAAGAGCAUAUUUGCUGUACUCCCAUUAUCAACCAGUAUCCUCUUUACUUCGAAGUUAGCCACAACCACAGAGACGACUAAGGCAUCAUCAUGAGAAUAUGAUAUUCCUUCCAAAUCUCUUGCCCCAAAAGUGAUGUCUUUGACUUCAUCACGGGAUUCCUUUGGGGUAUGAGCAUGUUGGCGGGCAUACUGCUUUCGCCCACUAUUUGUGUCUCCUCCAGAUGCUAUGCCCCCGACGAUAAUAUUAAUUGUCCUGACAGUGGGUUAAGCACGGCUUCCGAUUCUAGGCUCUUUCCGAUUGUCACGAUCAUUCCUCGGGCGUUUAUCAUGACCAAUGUAAUUCCUUAAGAAUCCUCUUUUAAUGAGAGCUUCGAUUUCCCGCUACAAAGCUUGACAAUCCUCCAUGGUAUGCCCAUGAUCCCGAUGAAAUUCACAAUACUUG
RNAcentral lists this long non-coding RNA (524 nucleotides) under Olea europaea subsp. europaea. Lineage: Eukaryota; Viridiplantae; Streptophyta; Magnoliopsida; Lamiales; Oleaceae. The record is from RNAcentral.